RNAcentral lists this transfer RNA (81 nucleotides) under Marmota monax (woodchuck). It matches the Rfam family "tRNA". Rfam says of the family: Transfer RNA (tRNA) molecules are approximately 80 nucleotides in length. Lineage: Eukaryota; Metazoa; Chordata; Mammalia; Rodentia; Sciuridae. The record is from Rfam by way of RNAcentral.
UGUGUUGUGGCUCAGUGGUAGAGCACUUGCCAUGAGCACUUGCAUGUGUGAGGCACUUGGGUUCAAUCCUCAGCACCACAU